UGUCUCCUCCACCCUCUGAAAAGGUGGAUUUGCCCCAAGUCGCAAGACUUGGGGCAUUUUUU
Molecule: non-coding RNA, 62 nt
Filed under: Limnohabitans sp. Rim28
Lineage: Bacteria; Pseudomonadati; Pseudomonadota; Betaproteobacteria; Burkholderiales; Comamonadaceae
Also listed under: 1 other name
Description: Betaproteobacteria toxic small RNA
Rfam family: Betaproteobacteria toxic small RNA
About the family: Overexpression in amino aid rich medium attenuates growth, suggesting role in repressing amino acid intake and metabolism.
Source: Rfam by way of RNAcentral